AAUGGCAGCGAAAACUCCGCCUAUGUUUUGAGUAAUCGGAAAAACUGCAUUGCCACGCGAACACAGGCAAAGAAGUAAAACUAUUUACUUCGCCAACAACAGAGAAAAACGUACCACAACUUCAAAAUUAUGACAAUUUGUAUAUUGUGUAGCAGAACUGGUACCAAAACAAGUGGACAAUAACAUCAUGUAAGUCACGUUGAGGAGAAAACUUCCAUCCCCAUUGGUGCAGCAAAACUCCGCAACUGCCACUUUCAGUUAUGAUACGAUGCAGUAUGCAUCAGUGUCUUGGGGGAGAUGGAAAGCAGCAC
Schistocerca serialis cubense is the source of this 311-nucleotide long non-coding RNA. RefSeq lists it as uncharacterized. NCBI's taxonomy places the organism in Eukaryota, Metazoa, Arthropoda, Insecta, Orthoptera, Acrididae. The record is from RefSeq and is a predicted model, not a curated record. The transcript has 3 exons.